RNAcentral lists this ribosomal RNA (497 nucleotides) under uncultured bacterium. Its description in RNAcentral is "partial 16S ribosomal RNA". It matches the Rfam family "Bacterial small subunit ribosomal RNA", at positions 28 to 507 of the family's 1533-position model. The record is from RNAcentral.
GAUGAACGCUGGCGGCGUGCCUAAUACAUGCAAGUCGAGCGAACAGAUAAGGAGCUUGCUCCUUUGACGUUAGCGGCGGACGGGUGAGUAACACGUGGGUAACCUACCUAUAAGACUGGAAUAACUCCGGGAAACCGGGGCUAAUGCCGGAUAACAUGUUGAACCGCAUGGUUCUACAGUGAAAGGCGGCUUUGCUGUCACUUAUAGAUGGACCCGCGCCGUAUUAGCUAGUUGGUGAGGUAACGGCUCACCAAGGCAACGAUACGUAGCCGACCUGAGAGGGUGAUCGGCCACACUGGAACUGAGACACGGUCCAGACUCCUAAGGGAGGCAGCAGUAGGGAAUCUUCCGCAAUGGGCGAAAGCCUGACGGAGCAACGCCGCGUGAGUGAUGAAGGUCUUCGGAUCGUAAAACUCUGUUAUUAGGGAAGAACAAAUGCGUAAGUAACUGUGCGCGUCUUGACGGUACCUAAUCAGAAAGCCACGGCUAACUACGUG